Molecule: ribosomal RNA, 468 nt
Filed under: uncultured bacterium
Lineage: Bacteria
Description: partial 16S ribosomal RNA
Rfam family: Bacterial small subunit ribosomal RNA
Source: RNAcentral
GACGAACGCUGGCGGCGUGCUUAACACAUGCAAGUCGAACGGAAAGGCCCUGCUUUUGUGGGGUGCUCGAGUGGCGAACGGGUGAGUAACACGUGAGUAACCUGCCCUUGACUUUGGGAUAACUUCAGGAAACUGGGGCUAAUACCGGAUAGGAGCUCCUGCUGCAUGGUGGGGGUUGGAAAGUUUCGGCGGUUGGGGAUGGACUCGCGGCUUAUCAGCUUGUUGGUGGGGUAGUGGCUUACCAAGGCUUUGACGGGUAGACGGCCUGAGAGGGGGACCGGCCCCGUUGGGACUGAGAUACGGGCCAGCCUCCUGCGGGAGGGCACAGUGGGGGAUAUUGCGCAAUGGGGGGGAGGCGGAUGCAGCAACGGCGCGUGCGGGGUGACGGCCUUUGGGUUGUAAACCGCUUUCGCCUGUGACGAAGCGUGAGUGACGGUAAUGGGUAAAGAAGCACCGGCUAACUACGUG